Molecule: long non-coding RNA, 835 nt
Organism: Bactrocera oleae (olive fruit fly)
Lineage: Eukaryota; Metazoa; Arthropoda; Insecta; Diptera; Tephritidae
Source: RefSeq, a predicted model, not a curated record
AUUUAAUAUUAUAAAUGUGAAUGUAAGUUUGUUUGCUAUGCUUUCACGCCGCAACUACUCAACGGGUAAUAAUGAAACUUUGUACACAUACUUUUAAUGAUAUGAAAAAGGACAUGUGAUUAUUAUUAUUAAAAAAAUUAUAGACUUUAUAGAUUGAAAAAUUUCUUUUGGCAAAUUUGAUUGUUUGUACACAAAUUUGAAACUAAAAAAAUAUAUAUUUGUUGUUUGUUGAAAAUUUUUACAAUUUAUCAAAACAAAAAAUGUCACUCAAGCAUAAAUCAAAUUCGUUCAGAAGUUCGUCACGGGCCCGUGUAGUUAAAGUUGCACGAAAUCGAGAAUCUUCCGCUCAUGGAGAGCUAGGAAGGCAACAGCAAAAAGGCAAGAUGAGCAACAGACAGCUAUAAGAGCGAUGGAAUCGCAAGAACAAUUGCAGGCGAGACACCUUAUUUUCCCAAUAAUUCAGGUUACACGCCAUCAAAAUUUUAUGCAGAAGGAUUGGUUUGUGUUUAACCAUAAUGCAUUUCAACAUGAUCUUUCAAUUGAAUAUCAUAGUUAUCCGUUAUUCAUUAUUGGCUCGAUAAAAUAAUAAAUGUACCAGUUUCCUUAGACCUUGGAUUAACAUUCUCGCAGGUUUACAACUAGAGCAGGCACGUCCAGCUUUGCCAAAGUUCCGUAAUUUACAUUUUGGAUUCGUUUGUCACAAAGGGUAAGCUUCAUUACCUGAGCCAUUGGAAAAGGAACAACGCAGAAAAAAUUUCGAGCUUCUGGAUCACAUAUAUGGGCAAAUGUGUGAGUUUUCUUAAAAAAUAAAAAAAGGCUUUUUCGGAUAACGGUG